GGUAACGGCGAGUGAAGCGGUAACAGCUCAAAUUUGAAAUCUGGCUCCUCGGGGCCCGAAUUGUAAUUUGUAGAAGAUGCUUUGGGUCUGGGCCUGGCCUAAGUUCCUUGGAACAGGACGUCGUAGAGGGUGAGAAUCCCGUAUGCGGCUGGCGCCCGUGCCCGUGUAAAGCUCUUUCGACGAGUCGAGUUGUUUGGGAAUGCAGCUCUAAAUGGGUGGUAAAUUUCAUCUAAAGCUAAAUAUUGGCCAGAGACCGAUAGCGCACAAGUAGAGUGAUCGAAAGAUGAAAAGCACUUUGGAAAGAGAGUUAAACAGUACGUGAAAUUGUUGAAAGGGAAGCGCUGGCAACCAGACUUGGGCGCUGUUGAUCCGCUAGGGUUCUCUCUAGGGCACUCGGCAGCGCGCAGGCCAGCAUCGGUUUGGGGGGUUGGAGAAUGGCUGGUGGAAUGUGGCUGUCUUCGGGCAGUGUUAUAGCCACCGGUGGCUUGCAGCCUCCCCGGACCGAGGACCGCGCUUCGGCUAGGAUGCUGGCGUAAUGGUUGUCAGCGACCCGUCUUGAAACACGGACCAAGGAGUCUAACAUCUAUGCGAGUGUUUGGGUGUUAAACCCAUACGCGGAAUGAAAGUGAACGUAGGUGAGAACCCGUAAGGGUGCAUCAUCGACCGAUCCUGAUGUCUUCGGAUGGAUUUGAGUAAGAGCAUAGCUGUUGGGACCCGAAAGA
Molecule: ribosomal RNA, 722 nt
Filed under: Podosphaera phtheirospermi
Lineage: Eukaryota; Fungi; Ascomycota; Leotiomycetes; Helotiales; Erysiphaceae
Description: partial large subunit ribosomal RNA
Rfam family: Eukaryotic large subunit ribosomal RNA
Source: RNAcentral